GGACAAUUAGCUCAGUUGGUUAGAGCACUUCCUUGACAUGGAAGGGGUCACAGGUUCGAGUCCUGUAUUGUCCACCA
This 77-nucleotide transfer RNA is filed under the name Opitutaceae bacterium. RNAcentral describes it as "tRNA-Val". It matches the Rfam family "tRNA". From Rfam's summary of the family: Transfer RNA (tRNA) molecules are approximately 80 nucleotides in length. RNAcentral also lists the same sequence under 1 other name. Lineage: Bacteria; Pseudomonadati; Verrucomicrobiota; Opitutia; Opitutales; Opitutaceae. The record is from RNAcentral.